This 497-nucleotide ribosomal RNA is filed under the name uncultured bacterium. Its description in RNAcentral is "partial 16S ribosomal RNA". It matches the Rfam family "Bacterial small subunit ribosomal RNA", at positions 28 to 507 of the family's 1533-position model. The record is from RNAcentral.
GAUGAACGCUGGCGGCGUGCCUAAUACAUGCAAGUCGAGCGAACAGACGAGGAGCUUGCUCCUCUGACGUUAGCGGCGGACGGGUGAGUAACACGUGGAUAACCUACCUAUAAGACUGGGAUAACUUCGGGAAACCGAAGCUAAUACCGGAUAAUAUAUUGAACCGCAUGGUUCAAUAGUGAAAGACGGUUUUGCUGUCACUUAUAGAUGGAUCCGCGCCGCAUUAGCUAGUUGGUAAGGUAACGGCUUACCAAGGCAACGAUGCGUAGCCGACCUGAGAGGGUGAUCGGCCACACUGGAACUGGGACACGGUCCAGACUCCUACGGGAGGCAGCAGUAGGGAAUCUUCCGCAAUGGGCGAAAGCCUGACGGAGCAACGCCGCGUGAGUGAUGAAGGUCUUCGGAUCGUAAAACUCUGUUAUUAGGGAAGAACAAAUGUGUAAGUAACUAUGCACGUCUUGACGGUACCUAAUCAGAAAGCCACGGCUAACUACGUG